UUGGAGGGCAGUCUGGUGCCAGCAGCCGCGGUAAUUCCAGCUCCAAUAGCGUAUAUUAAAGUUGUUGCAGUUAAAAAGCUCGUAGUUGAAUUUCGGGAUCAAUAUAUCGGUCGUGCCUUGGUACGUACUGGUAUCAUUGGUUUCUCCUUUCUGACGAACCAUGAUGUCAUUAAUUUGGUGUUAUGGGAAGUUAGGACUGUUACUUUGAAAAAAUUAGAGUGUUUAAAGCAGGCUUUAGCUUGAAUACAUUAGCAUGGAAUAAUGAAAUAGGACGUUCGAACCUAUUUUGUUGGUUUCUAGGAUCAACGUAAUGAUUAAUAGGGAUAGUUGGGGGCAUUAGUAUUCAAUUGUCAGAGGUGAAAUUCUUGGAUUUAUUGAAGACUAACUACUGCGAAAGCAUUUGCCAAGGAUGUUUUCAUUAAUCAAGAACGAAAGUUAGGGGAUCGAAGACGAUCAGAUACCGUCGUAGUCUUAACCAUAAACUAUGCCGACUAGGGAUCGGAUGAUGUUAAUUUUUUAAUGACUCAUUCGGCGCCUUACGGGAAAC
This 547-nucleotide ribosomal RNA is filed under the name uncultured Glomeromycotina. RNAcentral's name for it is "SSU rRNA". It matches the Rfam family "Eukaryotic small subunit ribosomal RNA", at positions 548 to 1098 of the family's 1831-position model. The record is from RNAcentral. Lineage: Eukaryota; Fungi; Glomeromycota.